CGGCCUAGGAGAUCAACCAUGCAAGCAUAGUGCUCUAUCUUGGGUUCAAUCAUAUACUUCCUAAGCAUCUGAUCACAAAGGCUACGACCCUCAGAAACAAGUCCAGCAUGACUACAAGCUGAAAGAAUAGCAACAAAGGUAACCCCGUCUGGUUUGAAUCCAGAUAUAAUCAUUUGAUUAAAUGUUUCUAAAGCGUUCACACCAAGUCCAUGCAUCCCAUACCCUGUGAUCAUAGAAUUCCAUGAUACUAAAUCUUUGCUCUCAAUUUUCUCAAAUACAGCAUGCCCUUCUUUUUAUUAUGAACUAAUAAUAUGGUAUCUAAUUUUUUCUCUCUUGCUUCAUCUUUUUUUAAAUCGUUUUGUUGAGCGUUUUGAUCUUUUUUUAAUAUUUAACUAUCAUAUGAAUGUUGGCAAUUUCCAUUGAUAUUAGGCUAUUUGCACAUUCCUCACUUCAUUUAUAUUUUUUUGCUUUUGCUCAUGUUUGAAUAUAAAUUUAUUCACUAAUCGUGGUUCUUUAUAUCAUAUUUUUCUUGAAAUUGAUUAAGAUAUUAAUAUUACUGACAUUUUAUUACUCUACGUAUGCAUAAUUUAUGUGUUUUAUAUUUUUUUUUUUUUUUUGAUUGUCAUUUUUAAGAGGUAACUAAGUGAAUAAUUUUAUUAUUAAUAAGUAGGGUUUUUUAUGAAGAAGAACUGAGAGAGUGUAAAUAUUGAUUUGAGUUUUUCGAUUGCGUUCUUUUAAGUCAUGCCAAUGAAGCACGUCGUUUUCAACCUUUUCAAAUAUAACCCUCGGAUCAAGUAUCGAUAAUAAUCCUAUAGUGUCCAACUGUUAGAUCAAAUAUUCAUAAUCCUAUAAUCCAAAAUUAAUGCCGUAAAAUUGACACUAUUAUAAUAUAACUGUACAAAAAUAACUACUUUUUAGAUUAUUAUAGUAAUAAAAUAUGUUUUUUACAAUAAAUAGUCGAUUACAUUAAAAUUAUUUAGCUUUUUGAUAGUAAUAUCUAAUCCCUUCCUUGCAUUAAAAAUGUCAUAGUUUUACUUUUUGUUUCAUUUUAUAUCAUAUUUUUCUUGAAAUUGAUUAAGAUAUUAAACUAUGUUUUCUACAAUAAAUACGUAUGCAUAAUUUAUGAAUAUGAUUUGGUUCAUUGCUAUAGAAAGAAAAUAAUAGAAAAAUAGCUUCACAUUAGUAAACAUUUUAUGAAUAGAAAAACACUUGUCGACUUAGUAAUAUGUAUAAGUAUACAUUAAAUAUUUCUUAUCAUAAAUAUUUAUAAACUUAAAUUAAUUAAUUAAAUCUAUUAAAACCCCAAACAAUUAAUAAUCAACUGCAUCUCGUCAACUUUCUAAAUUUCAUCCAACAUAUUAUUUGUUUAUUUAUUUAUUAGAAAGAGAAAUAUUAUUAAUAUGAAACCAGGAAAAACUUAAGAAAAUGGAUGCAUUCUAAUCCCAAGACAACAGACUUUCCCCUUACACCCAUCCUAGGCAUCCAUGAUGUUAAGUGAAAAAACCUGGUGAGCUACAUCAUUAAGCAGAAAAUUACAAGAAAAAAAAAAAGAUAGCUAAACAAUGAACUACCAUAUUGGAUGAUGAAUUCUCCUGAAUUAAAAGCUUGAAGCACUCCUUGAUCAUCAGUUUGAACAUCAACAUGCGUAAUCCCUUCCAUGCAAACCCAAACAAGAGUUCCAAAAAUGCAAUAGCUUCAGCCACUUUAGGAAUGAAGCAACCCAGCAUAGCUCCAGAUUUAAAUCUACCAAUUUGAACAUUUAUUGAUCAUGCAAAGCAAUUGAAAAAUAAAUUUCACGUAAACCAGUCAAAAAUUGAAAAUAGCAAAAGCUAGCAUGUUCAUGUUCUAAUCUAUGUUACCUGAUCAACAUCUUGCAGAAUCCUCCCAUCUAUCUACCACCUGCAGCAUAUAUAUUUGAGAGCAAUGUGCAAUUCCCUAUUGUUUCCUGCAAAUUGAGACUAAACAUAUCAAUGAGAUCUUUCCAAAUGAAUAAUAUUCAAAUCACCUUUAUAUAUAAUAUAUCCAUUAAUCACCUUACCUUUAUCAGAUACCACAAACCAGCACAAAUGCCUCAGCACUCAUCUCCAUUCCUCUCAUACUCAUCACACCAAACUACUCCAUUGUUUCCUCAAGCUAAUCUGAACGUGCGUGACUUGACAUAAGCAAUGUCCAUCUUACAAGAUUUGGUCCCAAAAACCUUCAGAUUGCAUCCUUGUGAAAAUCUCCAGUGUAAUCACAGUUGAAUGAAUAAGCCGUAAACAUUACAUUCCAUGAAAUACAGUUUCUAACACCCAUUCUGUCGAACACAUUCUGGAUCACUCAAUUUGACAAACAAUGGCCGUAAUAUCAUCAUAUUUGCCUCCAGUAUGCAAGUAUCCAGCCCUCUGAGCAUCUCUAGCAAAAGGAGAAUGAUAAUCUUCAUCAAUAGAAUUAAACAAAGCACAAUCUCCAAUUGCCCAAGCUAAGUCCUCUACAGACGUUUCAUUAUCCCCAUCAGUUUGCUCCAAGAUUUUUAUUAUUUCAUAUGGGUAAAUAUUAUCAAGCAACCCAUCACUUCCUACAACAACAAUAUCUCCAGCUUGUACACCAAUUUUUUCCUCAUAAGCAAUACAAGGCAUAUCGCUACUGCAAGUCCCUAAUUGGUACGGACGAUUAAACUCGUGUUGCUGCACUGGAGAUUUGUAAAUAUAUUUUUUGUCCCUAAAUAGCAUAAACCCACUGUCUCCAAGAUUGACAUAAUGCAAGCAAUUAUUAGUACUGAGAGUAAUAAUACAGGCGGUUGAGGAACCUUGAACACUGGUGUUUAAAUAGGCUUCUUCUAGAACUCUUCCUGGAUUUACGCUUCCUUUGUGUUCAUGUUGAAGAGCAAUAGCAGAAUUUGCCAUGAGUUGGCGAGCGUAUUCACCGGCAUCGAUUCCUUUUCUUUCCCAACCGCCAACGCCAUCCGCGACACCGAUGGUUUGCUUUUCUUUGCAAAUGAAAUGAGAGUCUUCUCCUUCUGGCCUUUCUUGGUUGUCUUUCUCUAUGUAAAAGCCUCCGGCAUUCAUCCUCAGUCGCUUCUUGAAGGAAUGAGUUUACAAUGGAAAGAUAAUAAGUAGGGUUUUUUUACGAAGGAGAACUGAGAGAGUGUAUAUAUUGAUUUGAGUUUUACUAUUGCGCAUUCUUUUAAGUCAUGCCAAUGAAGUCUUUUUCAACAUUUUCAAGUAUAACCGACGGAUCAAGUAUCGGUAAUAAUCUUAUAGUGUCCAACCGUUGGAUCAAUUAUGGAUAAUCCUACAGUCCAAAAUUAACACCGUAAAAUUAGCACUAUUAUAAUAUAACUAUACAAAAAUAACUACUUUUUAAAUUAUUAUAGUAAUAAAAUAUGUUUUUUACAAUAAAUAGUCGAUUACGUUAGAAUUAUUUAGCUUUUUGAUAGUAAUCUAAUCCCUUCCUUGCAUUAAAAAUGUCACAGUUUUAAUUUUUGUUUCAUUUUAUAUGUUACUUGAAGAUCAAGAAAUCAUUUAUAAAAAAAGGUAAAAAAAAGAUUAAAAAUUGUGGAAUAAUAAAAAAGAAAAUCAUUUUACGUGUCUACAUCUUGUGGAAUGAUAUUAUUAGCAUGUAUAUAUCCUUCAGUCUCCAUCUGAAGUGCCAAUUCUUCAAGUAUCCUAAUCACUUGCUCCAGACCCAUUUCCAUAUUUUUCCCAGCAGAAAACAUAUGAACAUCCUUCUUCACCUUAAUCCAACUUUGCCCACGGUUCUUCUUUAAACCCUUUCUCCUAGCAGAGGUUCUCACUCUUGCAGAAUCCUCCCAUCUACCACCUGCAGCAUAUACAUUAGAGAGCAACAUGUAAUUCCCUGUUGUUUCCUGCAAGUUGAGACUAAACAUAUGGGAGGCAGUUUCUUCAGCAACAUCUGCAUUGUUGUGCAUUCUACAAGAGUUCAAAAGGGCACCCCAUACACAAGCAUUGGGUUCCACUGGCAUGUUUUUGACAAUUUCACUUGCUUCUUGCAAUAACCCUGCACGGCCUAGGAGAUCAACCAUGCAAGCAUAGUGCUCCAUCUUGGGUUCAAUCAUAUACUUCCUAAGCAUCUGAUCAAAAAGGCUACGACCCUCAGAAACAAGUCCAGCAUGACUACUAGCUGAAAGAAUAGCAACAAAGGUAACCCCGUCUGGUUUGAAUCCAGGUAUAAUCAUUUGAUUAAAUGUUUCUAAAGCGUUCACACCAAGUCCAUGCAUCCCAUACCCUGCGAUCAUAGAAUUCCAUGAUACUAAAUCUUUGCUCUCAA
This 4269-nucleotide long non-coding RNA is filed under the name Jatropha curcas. RNAcentral describes it as "long non-coding RNA (JCUR_LNC000955)". The record is from RNAcentral. Lineage: Eukaryota; Viridiplantae; Streptophyta; Magnoliopsida; Malpighiales; Euphorbiaceae.